CUGUCCGCGGCUAUUGAAGGAUGAAUACAUCUGGACGGGGAAUAUCAUCACUUUUUGCAUUUCUUCAUUACUUCGGACUAAGAAUUUCCUUUUUCUUGAUUAUCUGGAUUUUUCUCUCCGAUAAGACGAUUUUUCUCUCCGAUAAUACAAUUUUUCUUUGAUAUAAUUUUUCUAUCAAGUUUUUAUAAAUUGGAUUUCUUCGAUAUAAUUUGGUUUUUGGCACAACAUUUCAUAUAUAUUUGACUCUUCUAAAAUUUUACAAUUUCUAUCAGUUGAGCAUGCUACCGUGUGAGACUGAUGAAUGUGUCUUGUGGGAGCUACUGUUUAAUAAACUAUUCAAUCUACUAAACAUAAAUUGAGUUAAAAGUUGAAUGUUGAUGCCAUGUGUAGGAAUGAGAAAUGGUAUGUAAAAUACUUUUUGGAUGAUAACACUGCAUUCGGGAGAAUGUGUUGCUUUAUUGAAUGGUCUAAAAUUUGCUGUGGAUCAGUUUUUAGCCAUUGAUGAACUGGAAAUUGAUUGUAGCUAAUGUUAAAGUUCGUCAUCUGGGUGGCAAGAAUUGUACAACAAAUGGCAUUCUUCCUGAGUAUUCAGUAUUUAUGUUGUGAAGUUAGUGAAGCUGUCCAUAGCUAAACAAGCAUGUGUACAGGCUUGUCAUUUCCUUGUACAUAUUUUAUCUUCAGAUGUUAUGAGUUAGACCCCUGUUUAGCGGAGAGAUUGUAUUAGAUUUUUAGCAUAUUUUAAUAAAAAGUUGAUGGAAUGUGUAGUUGAAAAA
Molecule: long non-coding RNA, 773 nt
Filed under: Olea europaea subsp. europaea
Lineage: Eukaryota; Viridiplantae; Streptophyta; Magnoliopsida; Lamiales; Oleaceae
Source: RNAcentral